Molecule: transfer RNA, 85 nt
Filed under: Verrucomicrobiota bacterium
Lineage: Bacteria; Pseudomonadati; Verrucomicrobiota
Description: tRNA-Ser
Rfam family: tRNA
About the family: Transfer RNA (tRNA) molecules are approximately 80 nucleotides in length.
Source: RNAcentral
GGAGGGAUGGCAGAGCGGUUUAAUGCACCGGUCUUGAAAACCGGAGAGGCGCAAGCCUUCGUGGGUUCGAAUCCCACUCCCUCCG